GCGGUGCGCGGAAGCCCGGCCGCGCUCGCAAGACUGGGCGCGGGCCUCCGCUCGGUAACGUCCACGGGGCAACGUGCGCCCACUCCGUGCCAGACGCAGGCGGGAGACCCCGGACCCCGUACCCAAGAGCAACGGGCCCCGGGCCUGCGGACGGCAAACACAUCCCCCGGCGGCUCUGCGCGCGACAGGGGGGCUAGGGAACAUCACCACGCUCCGUGGGAAAAUUCUGGACGGAGUUGGCCAAAGCAGUCGCCCCCCAAAGUUACACGGGGACCAUUCUGGAACAAGUGAGAGAGAAUGAGCUGAACGGAGAAUCAUCCAAAUGUGGACGCAGUUAUCCCCCCACGUGGGCUGAGGCUAAAAGUCCACACAGACGGAGGACAUGCCGAGGCCGACCACACUCAGGACGACUCCCGGGUUCCACCCCCUGGGUUGCGUGGCGUGGCUGCCGAGGCCCGGCCAGGCGGGCGGACCCGUGUGCACGCCCAGCUGCACGUUCACGUUCACACGGCUGAAGAGAAUACACAAAGCUGUCAUCUGCUCCUUCAUUCAUCCAGAAGUUACUGACACACCUAGUAUGUGAUGGAUGCGUCCGUGAUUUGCAGUCUGUGGGAUGGAAAGUUAUGACCUCAUUUUUAGGUCUGCCAGAAAGGAUAAAGUUAUUUAUCAAGACUUAUCAUAGCAGACGUGGUGGUUAUCUUUCCACACCCAUUGAAAGCGAAAAUCAAAUCCUGGACAACUGGUCGUGUUUGUGAAGUCGUGUUGUUUUACACGCCACACGAAAAUGCUAUUUGGACAUAUUAACACUACAAAUGAGGCUUUCAUAACAUAUAUCAACGGAUUUGGGAAGGGACAACUUCUCAGUUGUGAGAACCCAGGGUAUUUACCACUGAACAAAAGUUUUAACACAUAAGCACGCAUUUGCAAGUGAAGAGUCUAAGAGAAAGGUUCCACGAACUCUGCAAAUUAAAACGAUAAACUGGGAAUGAAAAGGCGCCAGAAAAAAAGGAAUAAGGUGAUCUGCCAAAUGCUGGUUUUCAAUUCACUUUCAAGCUGAAAUCUUUGUCACUUUGAUGAGAAUAUAUUAAAAAAAAAAUGUUGCUAGCUCUGCUGUGUCAGCAGCCCAAAGCUGCAGGAACGCACGUCUUCCCCUGCAUACACACGCGCACACACACUCUCACACUCACUCACUGACAAGGAUUCCCAGGACACUGGGCCUCUUCUAGGCCCCUUAAGUGUUAACAGCACAGGCCUGGCUGCGACCAGGCGUCUGGCCCGAUUUAAAUGCCCUGUCUUCAGAGAACUGCGGUGAGCAUGGCCAUAAAACUAAGGGGCAUAACUGAACCUUAGAGUGUCUAACACCCCCCCCCCAACACACACAAUUUUACUCCUACAAUUAAGGCUGCUCGUUGGCAUUCCAUUUAACUGUCAAACUAG
Zalophus californianus (California sea lion) is the source of this 1437-nucleotide long non-coding RNA. RefSeq lists it as uncharacterized. Lineage: Eukaryota; Metazoa; Chordata; Mammalia; Carnivora; Otariidae. The record is from RefSeq and is a predicted model, not a curated record. The transcript is spliced from 4 exons.